Molecule: ribosomal RNA, 257 nt
Filed under: Caloplaca cerina
Lineage: Eukaryota; Fungi; Ascomycota; Lecanoromycetes; Teloschistales; Teloschistaceae
Description: partial 18S ribosomal RNA
Source: RNAcentral
UAGAAGUAAAAGUCGUAACAAGGUGCCGCACGGAAGCCUUGCACGCCCAGUCCGCCUUCGGGCGGGCGACACUCGCCUGUAGCUGGAAGCUUCCCCCGGGUCUCCGGGGGCAACGAUCAGCUGCUGCGCGCCCCCGGGCGUGCAGUCCACAGAUCAAACGCGGGUGGCCUGCGCCUGCAGGUUGAGAUAUGACCGUAGCAGCUCCGCCGGGAGCCUGGCAUACUAGUUCCGUAGGUGAACCUGCGGAAGGAUCAUUA